This 440-nucleotide ribosomal RNA is filed under the name uncultured bacterium. RNAcentral's name for it is "partial 16S ribosomal RNA". It matches the Rfam family "Bacterial small subunit ribosomal RNA", at positions 338 to 795 of the family's 1533-position model. The record is from RNAcentral.
CCUACGGGUGGCAGCAGUGGGGAAUAUUGCACAAUGGGGGAAACCCUGAUGCAGCGACGCCGCGUGAGUGAAGAAGUAUUUCGGUAUGUAAAGCUCUAUCAGCAGGGAAGAAAAUGACGGUACCUGAUUAAGAAGCGCCGGCUAACUACGUGCCAGCGGCCGCGGUAAUACGUAGGGGGCAAGCGUAUUCCGGAUUUACUGGGUGUAAGGGGAGGGUAGACGGCAGCACAAGACUGGAGUGAAAUGCCGGGGCUUAACCCCGGAACUGCUUUGGAAACUGUGCAGCUAGAGUGCAGGAGAGGUAGGUGGAAUUCGUGGUGUAGCGGUGAAAUGCGUAGAUAUUAGGAGGAACACCAGUGGCGAAGGCGGCUUACUGAACUGUAACUGACGUUGAGGCUCGAAAGCGUGGGGAGCAAACAGGAUUAGAUACCCUUGUAGUC